UACGUAGGUCCCGAGCGUUGUCCGGAUUUAUUGGGUUUAAAGGGUGCGUAGGCGGGAUGCCAAGUCAGCGGUAAAAAUGCGGUGCUCAACGCCGUCGAGCCGUUGAAACUGGCGUUUUUGAGUGGGCGAGAAGUAUGCGGAAUGCGUGGUGUAGCGGUGAAAUGCAUAGAUAUCACGCAGAACUCCGAUUGCGAAGGCAGCAUACCGGCGCCCUACUGACGCUGAGGCACGAAAGCGUGGGUAUCGAACAGG
This 252-nucleotide ribosomal RNA is filed under the name uncultured bacterium. Its description in RNAcentral is "partial 16S ribosomal RNA". It matches the Rfam family "Bacterial small subunit ribosomal RNA", at positions 524 to 776 of the family's 1533-position model. The record is from RNAcentral.